This 253-nucleotide ribosomal RNA is filed under the name uncultured bacterium. RNAcentral describes it as "partial 16S ribosomal RNA". It matches the Rfam family "Bacterial small subunit ribosomal RNA", at positions 524 to 776 of the family's 1533-position model. The record is from RNAcentral.
UACGAAGGGGGCUAGCGUUGUUCGGAAUUACUGGGCGUAAAGCGCGCGCAGGCGGUUCUUCAAGUCAGAGGUGAAAGCCCAGGGCUCAACCCUGGAAUGGCCUUUGAGACUAGAGAACUAGGGUACGGGAGAGGUGAGUGGAAUUCCGAGUGUAGAGGUGAAAUUCGUAGAUAUUCGGAAGAACACCAGUGGCGAAGGCGGCUCACUGGCCCGUUACCGACGCUGAGGCGCGAAGGCGUGGGGAGCGAACGGG